Molecule: transfer RNA, 77 nt
Filed under: Deltaproteobacteria bacterium
Lineage: Bacteria; Pseudomonadati; Myxococcota; Myxococcia
Also listed under: 1 other name
Description: tRNA-Arg
Rfam family: tRNA
About the family: Transfer RNA (tRNA) molecules are approximately 80 nucleotides in length. Their secondary structure includes four short double-helical elements and three loops (D, anti-codon, and T loops).
Source: RNAcentral
GCGCCAGUAGCUCAGUUGGAUAGAGUGCCGGACUACGAAUCCGUAGGUCGGGGGUUCGAAUCCCUCCUGGCGUACCA